This 253-nucleotide ribosomal RNA is filed under the name uncultured bacterium. Its description in RNAcentral is "partial 16S ribosomal RNA". It matches the Rfam family "Bacterial small subunit ribosomal RNA", at positions 524 to 776 of the family's 1533-position model. The record is from RNAcentral.
UACGUAGGGUGCAAGCGUUAUCCGGAAUUAUUGGGCGUAAAGAGCUCGUAGGCGGUUUGUCGCGUCUGCUGUGAAAACCCGAGGCUCAACCUCGGGCCUGCAGUGGGUACGGGCAGACUAGAGUGCGGUAGGGGAGAUUGGAAUUCCUGGUGUAGCGGUGGAAUGCGCAGAUAUCAGGAGGAACACCGAUGGCGAAGGCAGGUCUCUGGGCAUUAACUGACGCUGAGGAGCGAAAGCAUGGGGAGCGAACAGG